CAAUAGCGUAUAUUUAAGUUGUUGCAGUUAAAAAGCUCGUAGUUGGAUUUCGGGUGGGACGCAGCGGUCUCGCAUUGCGUUUGUACUGCUGCAGCCCUCCUUCUUGCCGGGGGCGGCCUCUCGGACUUCACUGUCUGGGGGUCAGAAUCUGCGAUGUUACUUUGAGUAAAUUAGAGUGUUCAAAGCAAGCUUACGCUCUGAAUAUAAUAGCAUGGGAUAACACGACAGGACUCUGGCCUAUCGUGUUGGUCUAUAGGACCAGAGUAAUGAUUAAGAGGGACAGUCGGGGGCAUUCGUAUUCCGUUGUCAGAGGUGAAAUUCUUGGAUUUACGGAAGACGAACAUCUGCGAAAGCAUUUGCCAAGGAUGUUUUCAUUGA
This 378-nucleotide ribosomal RNA is filed under the name uncultured eukaryote. RNAcentral's name for it is "partial 18S ribosomal RNA". It matches the Rfam family "Eukaryotic small subunit ribosomal RNA", at positions 592 to 976 of the family's 1831-position model. The record is from RNAcentral.